AGCGAACGCUGGCGGCAUGCCUAACACAUGCAAGUCGCACGGGGGGGCUUCGGCCUCCCAGUGGCGGACGGGUGAGGAACGCGUAGGGACCUGUCGAGGGGUGGGGGAUAACCGCGGGAAACUGCGGCUAAUACCGCAUGACGCCGCGGCGUGACAGCCGGGGCCAAAGGCGAAAGCCGCCCGCCGAGGGGCCUGCGUCCGAUUAGCUGGUUGGCGGGGUAGCGGCCCACCAAGGCGUCGAUCGGUAGCUGGUCUGAGAGGGUGAUCAGCCACACCGGGACUGAGACACGGCCCGGACUCCUACGGGAGGCAGCAGUGGGGAAUAUUGGACAAUGGGCGCAAGCCUGAUCCAGCAAUGCCGCGUGGGUGAAGAAGGUCUUCGGAUUGUAAAGCCCUUUCGGCGGGGACGAUGGUGACGGUACCCGCAGAAGAAGCCCCGGCUAACUUCGU
Molecule: ribosomal RNA, 450 nt
Filed under: uncultured bacterium
Lineage: Bacteria
Description: partial 16S ribosomal RNA
Rfam family: Bacterial small subunit ribosomal RNA
Source: RNAcentral